GAAAUGCGAUAAUUAAUGUGAAUUGCAGAAUUCAGUGAAUCAUCGAGUCUUUGAACGCACAUUGCGCCCCCUGGUAUUCCGGGGGGCAUGCCUGUCCGAGCGUCAUUGCUGCCCUCAAGCACGGCUUGUGUGUUGGGUUUCCGUCCCUGGCAACGGGGACGGGCCCAAAAGGCAGUGGCGGCACCAUGUCUGGUCCUCGAGCAUAUGGGGCUUUGUCACCCGCUCCCGUAGGUCCAGCUGGCAGCUAGCCUCGCAACCAAUCUUUUUAACCAGGUUGACCUCGGAUCAGGUAGGGAUACCCGCUGAACUUAGGC
RNAcentral lists this unclassified non-coding RNA (314 nucleotides) under plant metagenome. Its description in RNAcentral is "partial contains 5.8S ribosomal RNA, internal transcribed spacer 2, and large subunit ribosomal RNA". The stretch from base 1 to 105 matches the Rfam family "5.8S ribosomal RNA", at positions 50 to 154 of the family's 154-position model. The record is from RNAcentral.